This 1336-nucleotide ribosomal RNA is filed under the name metagenome. RNAcentral describes it as "SSU rRNA". It matches the Rfam family "Eukaryotic small subunit ribosomal RNA", at positions 483 to 1816 of the family's 1831-position model. The record is from RNAcentral.
AUACCGGGCCUUUUUGGGCUUGGUAAUUGGAAUGAGGGAGAGUUAAACGGACCAUCGAGUAUCCAUUGGAGGGCAAGUCUGGUGCCAGCAGCUGCGGUAAUACCAGCUCCAAUAGCGUAUAUUAAAGUUGUUGCAGUUAAAAAGCUCGUAGUUGGACUUGUGUGCGCUGUCCGCGGGUGGCCUGCGCCCAAAAGGGCGUUUCGGUUCGGCCCCGGUGGCGCCUUGAAAUCUGCAGCUGGGGGGACGUUGGCCUUAACUGGUCGGCGACCGCACGCCGGCUGCUCGGUUACUGUGAGAAAAUUAGAGUGUUCAAGGCAGGCAUUGGGUGCAAUUGAAUACAUUAGCAUGGAAUAAUAAAAUAUGGCUCCUGCCGUAUUUUGUUGGUUUUGACUGGUGGGAGUAAUGAUUGAUAGGGACGGUUGGGGGUGCUAGUAUUGAGCGGCCAGAGGUGAAAUUCAUGGAUUCGCUCAAGACUAACUUAUGCGAAAGCAUUCACCAAGGACGUCCUCUUUAAUCAAGAACGAAAGUUGGGGGAUCGAAGACGAUCAGAUACCGUCGUAGUCUCAACCAUAAACUAUGUCGACUUGGGAUCGGCGGUAGUUUUUUCAUUAAGACACUGUCGGGACCACGGGAGAAAUCAAAGUGUCUGGACUCUGGGGGAAGUAUGGUCGCAAGGCUGAAACUUGAAGGAAUUGACGGAAGGGCACCACCAGGAGUGGAGCCUGCGGCUUAAUUUGACAACACGGGGAAACUUACCAGGUCCAGAGAUGUAGAGGAUUGACAGAUUGAAGCUCUUUCUUGAUCACUUCGGUGGUGGUGCAUGGCCGUUCUUAGUUGGUGGAGUGAUUUGUCUGGUUAAUUCCGUUAACGAACGAGACCUCAGCCUGCUAGUGUAGUCGGCUGGAUUGCCUCUGGCGAUCCGUGAUUUCGACUUCUUAGAGGGACAAUCGACGCGCAGUCGAUGGGAGUUUGAGGCAAUAACAGGUCUGUGAUGCCCUUAGAUGUUCUGGGCCGCACGCGCGCUACACUGCUGGGCUCAGCGAGUUUUACUUGGCCGAGAGGCCCGGUUAAUCUUGUGAAAUCCCAGCGUGCUUGGGCUCGCCUCCUGCAACUGGAGGCGCCAACGAGGAAUUCCUAGUAGACGCAGGUCAUCAACCUGCAUCGAUUACGUCCCUGCCCUUUGUACACACCGCCCGUCGUUCCAUAAGAGUGAGGCAUCCGGUGAAUUCUCGGGAGAGCCUGGGCGUGGCCAGCAAUGGUCUGCUCGGGUUUGAACUUGCAUAAACUUGGUGCCUAUGAUUAGGGAAAAGUCGUAACAAGGUUUCCGUAGGAACCU